Molecule: long non-coding RNA, 1253 nt
Filed under: Apteryx rowi (Okarito brown kiwi)
Lineage: Eukaryota; Metazoa; Chordata; Aves; Apterygiformes; Apterygidae
Description: lncRNA (ENSARWG00000006413.1)
Source: RNAcentral
GCCGAGGGACAAGCGCGGCCGCCGCGCGGUGCGACCCCGAGCCCGGGCCCUCCGCCGCCCCAAAGGGCCUGGCCGCCGCGCUAGGACCCAGGAGCGCCGCUCCCGCGCGGCCGAGCACCCGCCGCCCGGACCUGCAAAACCUGCAGCCCCUUCUGUGGCCCCAAAUGAGGCGAUCCGCCCCCAAACCGCGCCGGUCCCUGCCAGCGGGCACCGGCAGACGCGCCCCGGCCGCAGAGCCGCGCCGGCACCUCAUCCCGCCCGAGCCCUGCGGUUUCUCCUAAGCGCGUCUGAGCCAUUCCAGCCCCUAGAGCGGGUUAAAGGUUUAUGUUUCCGUCAGCCUCAGAACUGGCACCAGCUCAGCGCCACCUGCGGAAUUUCAUCCCAUCUUCCGAGACACAGAAGCUGCAUUAAAACAACAACGACAAAAAAAAAAUUGAUAAUUUAUUAUUAAUCGGAAAUGUUCAAAUCGCAAGUUACUGAGCAACAGGGGAGUCUGGGCUCGGGUGCGCUGCAGCGGUGCUCCGGCACGUGCGUGCGCCAGACCGAGCGCUUGUUCCGUGCUUCGCGGCGUAGGAGUUGGGGAGGCGGCUGCAGCCGUUAGGGCACGCGGGUCCCCUCUCGCGCCCAGGGGAACCGCCGCGCGGCUCCCGCGGCUCCCGCCCUUAAUGGCGAUAUCGUGCCAACACCCUCCGCACGCUCCUUCUCAGCCAACUGCUUUUUUUUUUUUUCCUCCGCGUGAGACAAAUGAACAAAGAUCGGUAUCGUCCCAUGACUUGUUUUUCAAGAACGGUGUCGUAAAAAAAUAUCUGGGCCUCUGUCACUGACAAAUGCCCUCCCCAAAUCUAGUCUUAAUAGAUUUAUUUAGUUUUUCUGCAUUUCUUAACAUCUCUUCUCCCUCAGCUUUCAUUUCAUGAUGUUCUUUCCUUUCUUCAGCUAUGGAGAUAAAGUAACUGGGUGAAUUCAAACCUUUCUGGGCAAGAAUCUGAUGUGAUUUUUCCAUCCCCAACUUUUGGGAGAGAUACUUAAAAUUAAUCACUUGUGUGCUAGGGUUUAGGUUUGUUUGUUUAUUUAGUACACGCCAGAUCUCGCAAAGACAGUGAGCUAUGUGCUAAUCAAACCAUCUGGCCUAUAUAAAAAAUUUAUCUUCGCUAAAUAAUUAACAACAACUAGAUGAGAAGGCUUCAUUAAGGCCAGGAAAGGAACGUCUGGUGUGGGCCAACAGAGGAUAAAUAAAGAAGGAAGAUGAACAACCA